RNAcentral lists this ribosomal RNA (254 nucleotides) under uncultured bacterium. RNAcentral describes it as "partial 16S ribosomal RNA". It matches the Rfam family "Bacterial small subunit ribosomal RNA", at positions 524 to 777 of the family's 1533-position model. The record is from RNAcentral.
UACAGAGGUCCCGAGCGUUGUUCGGAUUCAUUGGGCGUAAAGGGUGCGUAGGCGGUUUGCUAAGUUUGAUGUGAAAUUCCGGGGCUCAACCCUGGCAUGGCAUUGAAUACUGGCGGACUAGAGUACUGGAGAGGAAACUGGAAUUUACGGUGUAGCAGUGAAAUGCGUAGAGAUCGUAAGGAAGACCAGUGGCGAAGGCGAGUUUCUGGACAGUAACUGACGCUGAGGCACGAAGGCCAGGGGAGCAAACGGGG